This 207-nucleotide ribosomal RNA is filed under the name uncultured bacterium. RNAcentral's name for it is "partial 16S ribosomal RNA". It matches the Rfam family "Bacterial small subunit ribosomal RNA", at positions 568 to 774 of the family's 1533-position model. The record is from RNAcentral.
CUCGUAGGUGGCCAACUAAGUCAGACGUGAAAUCCCCAGGCUCAACCUGGGAACUGCGUCUGAUACUGGAUGGCUUGAAUUCGGGAGAGGGAUGCAGAAUUCCAGGUGUAGCGGUGAAAUGCGUAGAUAUCUGGAGGAAUACCGGUGGCGAAGGCGGCAUCCUGGACCGAGAUUGACACUGAGGAGCGAAAGCCAGGGGAGCAAACG